UGGUGGAGUGAUUUGUCUGGUUAAUUCCGAUAACGAACGAGACUCUGUCCUGCUAACUAGGUUGUGUUUUCUCGGGUUGGUGUUCUGGUGUUCCUUCUCGGGGCGCCGGCCCAAUCCACUUGUGAACACAACACUCUUCUUAGAGG
Molecule: ribosomal RNA, 146 nt
Filed under: uncultured eukaryote
Lineage: Eukaryota
Description: partial 18S ribosomal RNA
Rfam family: Eukaryotic small subunit ribosomal RNA
Source: RNAcentral